AUCACUUUGCAAUCAUUCUAACGUGCAUUCUUCCGGUAGGUACAGUCUACCGUCUUCAAGAUCAAGACAGCACUCGGCAUGCUGUCCUAGCCACCAUCAGACCACUCAGCAUGCUGUCCCAGCCACCACCAGACCACUCAGCAUGCUGUCCUAGCCACCAUCAGACCACUCAGCAUGCUGUCCUAGCCACCAUCAGACCACUCAGCAUGCUGUCCUAGCCACCAUCAGACCACUCAGCAUGCUGUCCCAGCCACCAUCAGACCACAGGAAGCAAGGAGGCUGCACAAUGCCUACAUUGGUCUAUGCCUCACCUUCACCUCACUCUCGGCCACAUAUGAGGUCCGGCCAACUACAGCCCGUCAAAAGAAGCCAACGAGGACCGGCUCUGUAUUACAUUAAUGAUAUGGUUGGAAAUGGGAACCCCAUUAUUUGUAUCAGUGCAGGUGGAAAUAAUGUUGGAAGAGUUAGGAGUGAGGCACUGAUAGAGGUUAAGAUAACCAUAGAAUUGGUAAAGAGCAAGAGAUCCCGAUCACUACUGUCUUCUGAGCUUGCUUCCUGAUGACUCCUCUCGCCGAUUCACGACUCUAACUUUGAAUUUGAUACUAAAUUUGCUACCUCAAA
Procambarus clarkii (red swamp crayfish) is the source of this 621-nucleotide non-coding RNA. The record is from RefSeq and is a predicted model, not a curated record. NCBI's taxonomy places the organism in Eukaryota, Metazoa, Arthropoda, Malacostraca, Decapoda, Cambaridae.